UACGUAGGGUGCAAGCGUUAAUCGGAAUUACUGGGCGUAAAGCGUGCGCAGGCGGUUAUGCAAGACAGAUGUGAAAUCCCCGGGCCCAACCUGGGAACUGCAUUUGUGACUGCAUGGCUAGAGUACGGUAGAGGGGGAUGGAAUUCCGCGUGUAGCAGUGAAAUGCGUAGAUAUGCGGAGGAACACCGAUGGCGAAGGCAAUCCCCUGGACCUGUACUGACGCUCAUGCACGAAAGCGUGGGGAGCAAACAGG
This 253-nucleotide ribosomal RNA is filed under the name uncultured bacterium. RNAcentral's name for it is "partial 16S ribosomal RNA". It matches the Rfam family "Bacterial small subunit ribosomal RNA", at positions 524 to 776 of the family's 1533-position model. The record is from RNAcentral.